UCCACUGCCCGCUGAGAGAGGAGGUGUGUUUGGGCCGGCUGCAGGGGGAGCUGGAUCUGCCGCUCUCCACGUUUCAUAACAAGCAAGAGCCUCUCAGGGUUUAAACUCAGAGGGGCACUGCCAGUCAAGUCUCUCUUUGGGUCUCUGUCUCUCUUUUCUUAUUCCUCCGUCUGUGGGGUUCUGACCCCUCUUUCUGCAUCUGCCUUCACAUUUGCCCUUUUGCCCUGCCUCUCUUCGUGCUGAGCUCCCGGACAUCACUCUGUGUUUCUCCCUGUCUGUCUGUCUCUGUCUGCGUCCUAGCUCGCUUUAUGUCUGUCUCUCCACGUCCUUCCAUCUGUCUGCCUCUCCCUUUAUCUCUAAGCCUCUGUCUGUCCGUGUCCAGGUUUUCCUUAGUCUCUGUGUCACCAUAUCUCAAAGUGCCAGGUUUUUGUUGUUCUUGUCCCUGGUGGUGGUGGUUGGUGACAUUAGUUGGGAAACCCUAGAGGCCCCUCCCAGGGAUUCACAGCACCUCCAUUAGCACGGAUCCCCUGCAGAAAAUAAACUUUCCUGUUCUUGUUUUGCCCUUUGCUUCCCACUUGACUUUGACAGCAGAACCAUCUUUUUCCUCCCAGAACACCUACUAACAUCUCGUGGAAUAAUCUUAGAAUCUCUGCUCCGUGCCUUGGCCCUGCUCUCUGUUUCUGCCUUUCCAGUUCUCUCUCUUUUUCUUUCUGCGUGUCUGUGUCUCUGUCUAUUCUUUCUUGUGUCCUCUCUCUCUGUGGCUCUCUCUCUCUGUGUCCACGUGUCUCUCCCUGUAGGCCUAGGUGAGUUUUCCUCCUCUCUCCCUCUCUGUAUCACUGACUUCCCAGCUCUCUGUCUCUCUCUCUCUGUUGUUCUCCAUAUCUCUCAUAUGUCUCUCUCUGUCUUUUUCUCUCUAUCUCUCUGUCUCUGUGUGGUCUCUUUUUCUUGCUUCUCUCUCUCUCUGUCCCUCUGAUUCUCUGUCUCUCCCUGUCUUUCUCUCCCCAUCUCUCUGUGUGGUUUCUCUCACUGUCUUUUUCUCUGUCUGUCUAUCUGUCUGUCUGUCUGUCUCAUGUCUUCCACUCCUCAGAAAGGCCUUGGCCUGAGGCCCCCGGUGGGGUGGGCUCCUUGGCCUUUCCCACCCACAGUGGUGAGCUAUGUGGGUCAGAGUGGAACGGAGUAGGGGAACUUUUCCACCAGAAGACUAAGAGAGCCAGAGCAUCACAAUGCUGCAGCCGCUGCGUGUUCUUCCAAGUCUUGGUGGCAGGUGCAGUUGGAGGGAUGCGGGGCCAGCCCCGCCGCAGGACUGGGGGAAGUGCCCGAGUCCCGCUGACUUCCACACACGCAGCCAGAGAUCAGCCUGGGCCACAUCGGCCGAGGAUUAAUAUGAACAUAAAUAAAGGGGGAGAGGAGUGGAAAUGGGCUUUGGAAAGCACAUUGCUAUUUUUCCUUCCUGUCUGCAUUUUUCCUUCUCAUCUUAUUACCGCCCAACAUGGGCCUUCUGCUCGCCACAAGACAUGCCAAUAGUCAAGAGGCAAGGCGGUAGGAAAAAAAAGGACUUUAUUAUUACAGCUUGCUAGCAAGAGGGAAGAUGGCCAACUAAUGUCUGCAAAAAACCAUCUUAAAGGAGCACAAAUCUUAUAGCAGUUAUAUAGGCCGGUGGGCUACAGGGGAGAGGGCUGGGAAUGCUGACCCUCCGGUCCCACAGACUGGGAGUGGCCACACCAGGUCCUCCAGUCCUCAUUGAGGAUGGCUGUCAGCACAGACUCUCUGCCCGGGGACCAUCACACUUCCAAGGAACCCAAAAGAACAAAGCCAUCAUCCCAUCGCAGGUGGGAGGCACAUGCACAGGCAGGGGCCGCAAAAUCAACAUAGCAGUGAGACCUCCCCGAGCGUGCAUAUCCAGCCAGGCUAGUUUGUCAGAGGCCAUUCAAAGUCACAACAGGGUUUCCUUUCUAUAACAUGGCUUCCCUUAUGUCAACCUUGUCUUGAGCCAGUAUCAAUCUCUUAUGUGUUCACCCUGUAACUCCUCUCUGUAUCUUCUGCCUGAGGCCCUGCUUCCUUUCCCUUCAUCUUUUGAGCAAGCUGUUACCCUGUUUCUGCCCUCUGAGAGUCCUAACAGGAAGGCCUGGCAUUUGUCCCAUGCUUUGUCACCAAGAACUUUGUCACACGCUGCUGCAACAACCCAGUGAGAGAACAGACCUGUUCCCAUUUCACAGAUGAGAAAACCCGGACCACAGAGGGAGGAGCUGGAGGGAAGGAGCUGGAGGGAAAGGAGCUGGCCCCAGUACAAAUCUCCCUGGAUCCUGGAACAUUGACUGUCAGCAACUCUGGCGGCAGAUGUGGAAAUCAGGACAAGGAGAGGUGAAAUGUUUUAUCCAGUCUUGCAGAGCUGGUAAGUGGAGGAGCUGGGAUUUGAACCAACAAAAAGGGGCUCAGCCAGAAUGCGCUAUCAGAGUGUGCAGGGGGGAGAGUCCUGCGGGCCGGCUGCUUGGAGGAGGUGGACGGGUAAGGAAAGACCUUCCUCUGGAGAGGAGCAUU
Molecule: long non-coding RNA, 2538 nt
Organism: Diceros bicornis minor
Lineage: Eukaryota; Metazoa; Chordata; Mammalia; Perissodactyla; Rhinocerotidae
Exons: 3
Source: RefSeq, a predicted model, not a curated record